Zootermopsis nevadensis is the source of this 73-nucleotide non-coding RNA. The record is from Rfam. Lineage: Eukaryota; Metazoa; Arthropoda; Insecta; Blattodea; Termopsidae.
GCCACGGUGGUCUAGCGGUCAGAACACUAGCAUUGUAAGCCUGGGGUCCCGGGUUCAAUUCCCGGUGGUGCUC